UGGCGGCGUGGAUAAGACAUGCAAGUCGAACGAGAAACUUACUUAGCUUGCUUUGAAAGUUUCUAGUGGCGGACGGGUGAGUAACACGUGAGUUACCUGCCCCGAAGUGGGGGAUAGCCUUCCGAAAGGGAGAUUAAUACCCCAUGUGAUCGCAAGAUUAAAGGCGGCCAUCUUUGAUGGCUGUCGCUUCGGGAUGGGCUCGCGGCCUAUCAGCUAGUUGGUGAGGUAACUGCUUACCAAGGCGAUGACGGGUAGCUGGUCUGAGAGGACGACCAGUCACACUGGAACUGAGACACGGUCCAGACACCUACGGGUGGCAGCAGUCGAGAAUCAUUCGCAAUGGGCGAAAGCCUGACGGUGCGACGCCGCGUGGAGGAUGAAGGCCCUAGGGUCGUAAACUCCUGUCAUCAGGGAGUAAUGGCUCACGUAGUAACUGCCGUGAGCAGUGAUAGUACCUGAAGAGGAAGGGACGGCAAACUUCGUGCCAGCAGCCGCGGUAAUACGAAGGUCUCAAGCGUUGUUCGGAUUUACUGGGCGUAAAGCGUCUGUAGGCGGAGUGGUAAGUCAGAUGUGAAAUCCCGGGGCUCAACCCCGGAACUGCAUCCGAUACUGCCACCCUAGAGGGUCGGAGGGGAGUCUGGAAUUCUCGGUGUAGCAGUGAAAUGCGUAGAUAUCGAGAGGAACACUAGUGGCGAAAGCGAGACUCUGGACGACACCUGACGCUGAGAGACGAAGGCCAGGGUAGCGAAAAGGAUUAGAUACCCUUGUAGUCCUGGCAGUAAACGGUGCACGCUUGGUGUGGGGGAGGUUCGACCCUCUCCGUGCCGGAGCUAACGCGUUAAGCGUGCCCGCCUGGGGAGUACGGUCGCAAGAUUAAAACUCAAAGAAAUUGACGGGGACCCGCACAAGCGGUGGAGCAUGUGGCUUAAUUCGAUGCAACGCGAAGAACCUUACCAGCCCUUGACAUCCUGUGAACUUUUUAGAGAUAAAUUGGUGCCUUCGGGAACACAGUGACAGGUGCUGCAUGGCUGUCGUCAGCUCGUGUCGUGAGAUGUUGGGUUAAGUCCCGCAACGAGCGCAACCCUCGUCUUUAGUUGCCAGCAUUAAGGUGGGCACUCUAGAGAGACUGCCGGUGACAAACCGGAGGAAGGUGAGGAUAACGUCAAGUCAGCAUGCCCCUUACGCCCUGGGCUACACACGUACUACAAUGGUUGGGACAAAGGGCAGCGAACCCGCGAGGGAGAGCGAAUCUCAUCAAACCCAGCCUCAGUUCAGAUUGCUCUCUGCAACUCGAGAGCAUGAAGGAGGAAUCGCUAGUAAUCGCAGGUCAGCAUACUGCGGUGAAUUCGUUCCCGGGCCUUGUACACACCGCCCGUCACACCAUGGAAGCUGGUCACGCCCGAAGUAGUUACCCUAACUUUCGAGAGGGGGACUCCUAAGGCAGGGCUAGUGACUGGGGUGAAGUCGUAACAA
RNAcentral lists this ribosomal RNA (1473 nucleotides) under uncultured bacterium. RNAcentral describes it as "partial 16S ribosomal RNA". It matches the Rfam family "Bacterial small subunit ribosomal RNA". The record is from RNAcentral.